UUCCCGGUUGGGGCGAAGAGACAGAAGACAGGGCUUGCAACCUCCGCCGCCUCCUCGCCAGCAUUAUUCUUCUUUCUUGCCUCUCCCGUUGCGCCCAUGCCUGUUCUGUCAGUUUCGUUUUAGGAAUUGAAUUGCAGGGGCUGAAGAAAAUGGGGCAACCCGUGCCUCAGACUCUCCUGCUUUUGGUGGCGGGUCUUUUGGGGGAGUCUUUGGGAGGCUUUCCCAACACCAUCAGCAUAGGUGGACUUUUCAUGAGAAAUACUGUUCAGGAGCAUAGUGCAUUUCGAUUUGCUGUGCAGUUAUACAACACAAACCAAAAUAUCACAGAAAAGCCCUUCCAUUUGAACUAUCAUGUAGACCAUUUGGACUCCUCCAACAGUUUUUCAGUGACUAACGCUUUUUGUUCACAGUUUUCUAGAGGAGUUUAUGCCAUCUUUGGAUUCUAUGACCAGAUGUCCAUGAACACACUGACAUCAUUUUGUGGAGCUCUGCACACGUCCUUUGUCACACCCAGCUUCCCAACAGAUGCAGAUGUGCAGUUUGUCAUUCAGAUGCGGCCAGCGUUAAAAGGAGCCAUCCUGAGCCUUCUGACUCAUUACAAAUGGGAAAAGUUUGUAUACCUCUACGAUACAGAAAGAGGAUUUUCCAUUCUUCAGGCAAUUAUGGAAGCAGCAGUACAAAACAACUGGCAAGUGACAGCCAGGUCUGUGGGAAAUAUAAAGGACGUUCAGGAAUUGAGGAGAAUCAUAGAGGAAAUGGACAGACGACAGGAAAAAAGAUACUUAAUCGACUGUGAAGUAGAGAGAAUAAACACAAUUUUGGAACAGGUUGUAAUCCUUGGUAAACAUUCCAGAGGUUAUCACUACAUGCUAGCUAACCUGGGUUUUACAGAUAUUAUGCUGGAGAGAGUAAUGCAUGGAGGUGCCAAUGUUACUGGAUUCCAGAUUGUUAACAAUGAAAACCCAAUGGUUCAACAGUUUCUACAACGCUGGAUUAGACUGGAUGAAAGGGAGUUCCCUGAAGCCAAGAACUCUCCAUUAAAGUAUACGUCUGCACUGACCCAUGAUGCAAUCCUAGUCAUAGCAGAGGCUUUCCGCUACCUCCGAAGACAGCGUGUUGAUGUUUCCAGGAGAGGUAGUGCAGGAGACUGCCUAGCAAACCCUGCAGUGCCCUGGAGCCAAGGAAUCGAUAUAGAAAGAGCAUUGAAAAUGGUACAAGUCCAAGGAAUGACUGGAAAUAUUCAGUUUGACACCUACGGACGCAGAACAAAUUACACAAUUGAUGUGUAUGAAACAAAAGCCACUGGAUCACGGAAGGCUGGUUACUGGAAUGAAUAUGAAAGAUUUGUGCCAGCACUAGACCAGCAAGUGUCUAAUGACACUUCAUCUGUGGAGAAUAGAACAAUAGUAGUCACUACCAUCCUGGAAUCGCCAUAUGUAAUGUAUAAGAAAAACCAUGAACAACUAGAAGGGAAUGAGAGAUAUGAAGGAUAUUGUGUAGACUUAGCUUAUGAAAUAGCAAAACAUGUUGGAAUAAAAUACAAACUGUCAAUUGUUGGAGAUGGGAAAUACGGAGCUAGGGACCCUGAGUCUAAGAUAUGGAAUGGCAUGGUGGGUGAACUAGUCUAUGGGAGAGCAGACAUAGCUGUUGCUCCACUCACUAUAACGUUGGUACGAGAAGAAGUCAUAGACUUUUCAAAACCUUUUAUGAGUCUGGGCAUCUCCAUCAUGAUCAAGAAGCCUCAGAAAUCUAAACCUGGCGUAUUUUCCUUUCUGGAUCCUUUGGCUUAUGAAAUUUGGAUGUGUAUAGUCUUUGCUUACAUUGGAGUCAGCGUAGUUCUUUUCCUAGUCAGCAGAUUCAGUCCUUAUGAAUGGCAUUUGGAAGACAACAAUGAAGAACCGCGUGACCCCCAGAACCCUCCUGACCCUCCAAAUGAGUUUGGAAUAUUUAACAGCCUUUGGUUUUCCCUGGGUGCCUUUAUGCAGCAAGGAUGCGAUAUUUCUCCAAGGUCUCUCUCAGGACGAAUUGUCGGAGGAGUCUGGUGGUUCUUCACACUCAUCAUCAUCUCUUCUUACACUGCCAAUCUUGCUGCCUUCCUUACUGUGGAAAGGAUGGUCUCUCCCAUAGAAAGUGCAGAGGAUCUGGCGAAGCAAACUGAAAUAGCCUAUGGAACCUUGGAUUCAGGCUCAACCAAAGAAUUUUUUAGAAGAUCAAAAAUAGCAGUCUAUGAGAAAAUGUGGUCGUAUAUGAAGUCAGCAGAGCCAUCUGUAUUUACCAAAACAACAGCUGACGGGGUCGCUAGAGUGCGGAAGUCAAAGGGAAAGUUUGCCUUCCUCCUUGAAUCGACCAUGAACGAGUAUAUCGAGCAGCGAAAGCCAUGUGACACAAUGAAAGUUGGUGGGAACCUGGAUUCCAAAGGCUAUGGUGUAGCAACUCCAAAAGGCUCAGCAUUAAGAAAUGCUGUUAACCUGGCAGUAUUAAAACUGAAUGAGCAAGGCCUCUUGGACAAAUUGAAAAACAAAUGGUGGUACGACAAAGGAGAGUGCGGCAGCGGGGGAGGUGACUCCAAGGAGGAAAUAUUUGGGGAAAGAUAGAAGCUAUCGCAACAAGGAACAGAUGCAAGGUGUAUCAUGGAAUGAGAUAUGCAUGUGUCAUUGACUUAUGGUGCAAUAUGAUGGAGCUUACUCACUCAUGACAGCUUUUUCUACUAGCUAAGCUAAUGGAACAGCUCUAUUAGCUUACCGGGUAGAGGCCCAAGUUUUGGGGAAUAGGUGUCCUGAGUUUGUAAUCAGAUACUUCCUGCUGGUAUUUUAGUGUGUGUGUGUGUGUGUGUGUACUGUAUAUAGGCUUGAAUCAUUACAGAUUGAUGGUGCCGUGGUCUUAGACUGAGCUCCUCUGACUCCCUGAUAUUCUGUUUGUGCUCAAGAUAUGGGCAACCCUAAGGUUUCAGCAAUAGAAGUUCAUAUUGCAGGCAGAUGCCUACAUUCAUUCAGGUAGGUUCUCGGUGAUGUGUCUCUGUCCCUGUCUACUGCUGUAAUAAAGUUUUGGGGAAGCUAUGGCUUUAUAUAGCCAACCAAGCUGUCCCAGAAUGACCUGAGCAAGCCUUCAAAGGAGGCAGCAGCAAACUGAAGCUUGUAGAUGAUCCAGAAAGCAGGAGCCUCCAGUGAAGCCUUUACAAGAGAAAAAAAUCUGAAGGUGGCAAGGAAUAUGUAUAUAAAAGCAAGAGAGAGAGAGAGAGAGAAUGAGGAUGCUGGCUAACGUACAAGGUAAGUGAAGGCCCUUGCACAUGUCCAUUCACAGCUACAUCAAUGUAGGUUAGAAAAGGUCAAGGAACAGUGGUGUGGUAAUCCCCAUAGACAGCAAUCAUGUUGCUGUGUAAGGUGUCCUAGGAAAGGAUUGUAGUAUCAAGCUUCCAGCCUUCCUUGUACUGCUUCUCCACAGCAUUCCUGGGGUGAGAUUUGGGAAAUUUCACUAAACCCCAAAUCUCUCUUUCGGUUGUUCUUGCCACAUCGGUCUCUCAGUCUCAGGCAUUGUUACAAAUGAACUAAAAUGACUUGUAACAGCUUUCAUUUCCUAAUCCAAUAUGCAUGCAUUAUUGCAUUAGCACUUUGCACUUAUAUUAAAUUAUGAUCCUGCUAGUGUAGUUUAAUGUGUUUGAGCUACAUUAAUGAAACAUAAAUAAACUUUCAUAGAGCCUGAUGCCGGCAUCAGACACAGACUGCAAACUUCCAUAAGAGAAGAGAGAGAGAAGCCUGCAGCAUCAGAUGGUCACACAUCUGGCUCUAUGGAAAACAAUCUUAGAUAGACUGAUACGUUAUGAUGGGCUGUAUCUUGCAAUAGAAUGUGAAAGUUCUGCUCUAGGAAAGGCUAGAAGAGUUGGAUAAUACAUUCACCCUUAAAGCAAGAAGAGAUGGAUCUAGAAAACCGCCAGUUUGAGCAUUCAUUUAAGGAUAAUCAUAAAGGAACAGAUUCUGUUACGUAAGAAAACUGUGAGAAGGGAGUAAUAGGAAGCUGUAAUUUAGCUAAUCUGGAAAGAAGCAAGUGCCUGCUGAAAAAAGGAGUCCCUCCAAAAGGUUUUAAGUUUCACAGAGAUGAUGGACAUAAGAUUUUUAGCAUCCACACCAACCUGGUGAAGUGCAGUAGCUGGGCAUGCAGAUUACAGCUUUGGGGGUGCUUGUGUCCUAACUCCUGUAAACCUUGCAGUAUUGAAACUCAGUGAACAAGGCAUCUUAGACAAGCU
Molecule: non-coding RNA, 4240 nt
Organism: Chrysemys picta bellii (western painted turtle)
Lineage: Eukaryota; Metazoa; Chordata; Testudines; Emydidae
Source: RefSeq, a predicted model, not a curated record